This 441-nucleotide unclassified non-coding RNA is filed under the name Hevea brasiliensis (rubber tree). The record is from RNAcentral. Lineage: Eukaryota; Viridiplantae; Streptophyta; Magnoliopsida; Malpighiales; Euphorbiaceae.
AAUUUAAAAUUUUGGGGUGUUACAAGAGGUUCUUGAGCAAGCACGAUUUGUGACCUCCUGACCGAUGAAGGCGAGAAGCCGUUUUAAGCUCUGCCGAUCGACUCUCACCACAAAAUCUAAGUUCAAUUGAAUUUGUUUGUUUUGGCCUUGUCCUAUUUCCUAAAUUGAUCUUCUUGUGGGCGAACACUAUCAAGAAACUCUAUUUCAUGAGACCAAAUAUUUGCUUUCAAUUAGUAGAUGAAAAGAAAGGCAGGUAACGUUGUUGUUUCUUCUCUACUAUUAACUUAGUUCUAGGGUUUGGUUUUGUUGGGCCUUUGGCUUGUAUUAGUAUUACAGCUAGAUUGUAAGCCUUUUCUCUUUAAACUCAGAGUUUUGAGCUAAUUUAUUGUCACGAUUCAAAAUUUUGAGCCGUGACUAGCGCAUAAUUUAAGUAUUCUUAAA